CAAGUCGAACGAAGCAGCAAUGCUUAGUGGCGCACGGGUGCGUAACGCGUAUGCAACCUACCUUUUACUGGGGGAUAACUUCUCGAAAGAGAAGCUAAUACCGCAUAAUAUCACGACAAUUCAUGUUGAUGUGAUUAAAGAUUUAUUGGUAAAAGAUGGGCAUGCGUCCAAUUAGCUAGUUGGUAGUGUAAUGGACUACCAAGGCUACGAUUGGUAGGGGGUCUGAGAGGAUGGUCCCCCACACUGGUACUGAGAUACGGACCAGACUCC
RNAcentral lists this ribosomal RNA (270 nucleotides) under unidentified marine bacterioplankton. RNAcentral describes it as "partial 16S ribosomal RNA". It matches the Rfam family "Bacterial small subunit ribosomal RNA", at positions 58 to 339 of the family's 1533-position model. The record is from RNAcentral.